This is a long non-coding RNA of Patella vulgata (common limpet), 292 nucleotides long. RefSeq lists it as uncharacterized. NCBI's taxonomy places the organism in Eukaryota, Metazoa, Mollusca, Gastropoda, Patellidae. The transcript is spliced from 3 exons. The record is from RefSeq and is a predicted model, not a curated record.
UAAUCAAAUGUCAAGAUGGGGUUAUGGGACGAUUUGUUAAGAUUUUUAUUGAGAAAUCAGAGUUUAUGACUUUAUGUGAAGUUGAGAUAACAGGUCAUAAAGUUGAUGAUUCCUCUUACAAGAACCCGUAUAAUGCGGACAGGUGUGAACGAUUUCCAAAUGGACCGAACCUUGCCUUGGGUAAGCCUACUGUGCAGAGCUCAACCUACAUACAUUAUAUGCCGUUGCCAUCAUCACUGGCUGUCGAUGGGAAUAGAAAUGGUGAUAUAAAUCAAUUUAGCUGCAGUCAUAC